This 868-nucleotide ribosomal RNA is filed under the name uncultured archaeon. Its description in RNAcentral is "bacterial SSU rRNA". It matches the Rfam family "Archaeal small subunit ribosomal RNA", at positions 1 to 878 of the family's 1478-position model. The record is from RNAcentral.
CUCCGGUUGAUCCUGCCGGACCCGACUGCUAUCAGAGUGGGACUAAGCCAUGCGAGUCGACGUAGCAAUGCGUGGCGAACGGCUCAGUAACACGUAGUCAACAUGCCCAGGGGACGUGGAUAACCUCGGGAAACUGAGAAUAAACCACGAUAGGUCACGAUUUCUGGAAUGGAUCAUGGCCUAAAUCUACAUGGCCCCUGGAUUGGACUGCGGCCGAUCAGGCUGUUGGUGAGGUAAUGGCCCACCAAACCUAUAACCGGUACGGGCUCUGAGAGGAGAAGCCCGGAGAUGGGCACUGAGACAAGGGCCCAGGCCCUAUGGGGCGCAGCAGGCGCGAAACCUCUGCAAUAGGCGAAAGCCUGACAGGGUUACUCUGAGUGAUUUCCGCUAAGGGGAUCUUUUGGCACCUCUAAAAAUGGUGCAGAAUAAGGGGUGGGCAAGUCUGGUGUCAGCCGCCGCGGUAAUACCAGCACCCCGAGUGGUCGGGACGAUUAUUGGGCCUAAAGCAUCCGUAGCCGGUUCUACAAGUCUUCCGUUAAAUCCAGCCGCUCAACGGAUGGGCCGCGGAGGAUACUACAGGACUAGGAGGCGGGAGAGGCAAGCGGUACUCAGUGGGUAGGGGUAAAAUCCUUUGAUCCAUUGAAGACCACCAGUGGCGAAGGCGGCUUGCCAGAACGCGCUCGACGGUGAGGGAUGAAAGCUGGGGGAGCAAACCGGAUUAGAUACCCGGGUAGUCCCAGCUGUAAACGAUGCAGACUCGGUGAUGGGCUAGCCUUGUGCCAGCCCAGUGCCGCAGGGAAGCCGUUAAGUCUGCCGCCUGGGGAGUACGGUCGCAAGACUGAAACUUAAAGGAAUUGGCGGGGGAGCA